UACGAAGGGUGCAAGCGUUACUCGGAAUUACUGGGCGUAAAGCGUGCGAAGGUGGUUCGUUAAGUCCGAUGUGAAAGCCCUGGGCUCAACCUGGGAAUGGCAUUGGAUACUGGCGGGCUAGAGUGCGGUAGAGGAUGGCGGAAUUCCCGGUGUAGCAGUGAAAUGCGUAGAGAUCGGGAGGAACAUCUGUGGCGAAGGCGGCCAUCUGGACCAGCACUGACACUGAGGCACGAAAGCGUGGGGAGCAAACAGG
RNAcentral lists this ribosomal RNA (253 nucleotides) under uncultured bacterium. RNAcentral describes it as "partial 16S ribosomal RNA". It matches the Rfam family "Bacterial small subunit ribosomal RNA", at positions 524 to 776 of the family's 1533-position model. The record is from RNAcentral.